AACGUAGGUGGCGAGCGUUAUCCGGAUUUACUGGGCGUAAAGGGUGUGCAGGCGGGCUGUUAAGUGGUGCAUGAAAUCUCCGCGCUUAACGUGGAGAGGCUGUGCCAGACUGGCAGUCUAGAGUACGAGAGAGGGUUGUGGAAUUCCGGGUGUAGUGGUGAAAUGCGUAGAUAUCGGAAGGAACAUCAGUGGCGAAAGCGGCUUCCUGGACCAGUACCGACGUUCAGGCACGAAAGCGUGGGGAGCAAACAGG
RNAcentral lists this ribosomal RNA (253 nucleotides) under uncultured bacterium. RNAcentral describes it as "partial 16S ribosomal RNA". It matches the Rfam family "Bacterial small subunit ribosomal RNA", at positions 524 to 776 of the family's 1533-position model. The record is from RNAcentral.